This 420-nucleotide ribosomal RNA is filed under the name bacterium. Its description in RNAcentral is "partial 16S ribosomal RNA". It matches the Rfam family "Bacterial small subunit ribosomal RNA", at positions 355 to 776 of the family's 1533-position model. The record is from RNAcentral.
UGGGGGAUAUUGCACAAUGGGCGAAAGCCUGAUGCAGCGACGCCGCGUGGGGGAUGAAGGCUUUCGGGUUGUAAACCUCUUUCGCUAUCGAACAAGGCCCGCUUAGGGUGGGUUGAGGGUAGGUGGAGAAGAAGCGCCGGCUAACUACGUGCCAGCAGCCGCGGUAAUACGUAGGGCGCGAGCGUUGUCCGGAACUAUUGGGCGUAAAGGGCUUGUAGGCGGCUUGUUGCGCCUGCUGUGAAAACGCGGGGCUUAACUUCGCGCGUGCAGUGGGUACGGGCUGGCUUGAGUGUGAUAGGUGUGACUGGAAUUCCAGGUGUAGCGGUGGAAUGCGCAGAAAUCUGGAAGGACACCGAUGGCGAAGGCAGGUCACUGGGCCAUUACUGGCGCUGAGGAGCGAAAGCAUGGGUAGCGAACAGG